This 67-nucleotide transfer RNA is filed under the name Apaloderma vittatum (bar-tailed trogon). It matches the Rfam family "tRNA", at positions 8 to 63 of the family's 71-position model. From Rfam's summary of the family: Transfer RNA (tRNA) molecules are approximately 80 nucleotides in length. Their secondary structure includes four short double-helical elements and three loops (D, anti-codon, and T loops). The record is from Rfam by way of RNAcentral. Lineage: Eukaryota; Metazoa; Chordata; Aves; Trogoniformes; Trogonidae.
UAGCUCAGUGGUUUGAGCGCGGUGCUGACAACAAUGACAUCACCGAGGUCGCGGGUUCGAUUCCCGC